This is a long non-coding RNA of Lactuca sativa (garden lettuce), 1700 nucleotides long. RefSeq lists it as uncharacterized. The record is from RefSeq and is a predicted model, not a curated record. Lineage: Eukaryota; Viridiplantae; Streptophyta; Magnoliopsida; Asterales; Asteraceae.
UUUUGUUGUGCGAUUGGUAAGGGACCAAAUUCAGAUGGAGACAAAAAGAGGAACCAAUAGAUUAAAGCUUGCUUCGUUCUCUGCUGGUUCUGUGGUGACGUCGCCAUAUGGACAGGGUCGGCACAUAGGCCUGGGCAAGUUAGGUGACCGCCUCGGGCCCCCAAAUGCCAAAGGGCCCCUUUUUACACUUCUUAUAUUAAUGUAACCGUCCAUUAGUUUUAAGCCUAUUUGACUGAUUAUUCAAAGCCCAAACCCCCCGUACUCGCCCAGUCCAAAAGAGGAAGCGGGAUAAUAGACCUGGUGUGUGAUGUCCGACUUCCAAGGCGCCAUAACUCUUCAACAAUCAAUUUCUAUGGAAAAUCCAAACGUCUUCUCCAUAUUCCAGAUGCAAUGAAGUUUAUGCUUGUGAUGGGCUUUUUCAAUUGCUAUGCUCUUCCACUCUUGGUUGGAUUCCGACAUCUACUGAUCACAUUAUUCAAUUUCUUAGAGGUUACUUACAACAUCACAUGCAGCCAACAAUAGUGUAUUAUCUAAGGUGGCGUUGUUGCAUGAUUGCAAUGAAAAAUGUCAAACUUGUAACCAUAGAUUUCUGACGCUUCUUGUGACAUACGUGACAUCUUUUUUGGAGGUUUCAUCUGCAUAUCGGACAUUUAGGUAUUCCAAGUCGCUUCUUUGAAUUUCCCUCUUUCCUUCUCAUGUCACCUUCUUUCUCUAUGUUUCGUUGUUUGUUCAGGUAAUACGUUCCUCGUUUUUUCUUCUACUGUGAUUUACUUUUCACUCGCCUUUGAUUUCCUCUAUUUUUGUUUUUUUUCUCUACUUCUCUCUUAUGCCUCGUGUCUUUUUCUAGAGAUUGUCCUCUUCUUCUUAGUCAGCUCUGGGACUGCGCUUUUACAUGUAAUACUUUUGUCAUUGAUCACUGCUACUUUCUGUUGUAAGAUUGGCAAGGUUCUUUCUUAUGACUUGCCUCUAUUUGUGCAAUUUGUCUUUGUUUUUGUCCUCUUCUUCUUCUUCAGCUCUGCAUCUAUGCUUUUACAGGUAAUAAUUUUCUCAUGGAUCACUGCCACUUUUUGUUUUAUUAUUAGUAAAUGUGAAGUGGUAGUCUGAUUUUUUUUUUUUUUGGUUUUGUCUCCUAUUCAUCUGUUUUUAUACCGAUCCUUUAAUCACUGGAUUUGGUGUUUUUUUAUCUGCAUGUGUGUUUGCAUUGUUAAAAAGGGAUUGAAAUUUCAAUGGCUUUUAUAUAUUUUCUUCUAAAAAGGUGUCUCUUGUCACUCUCUAUUAGUGAUUAAAUCCAUUGUUAAAAAACGAUUGACCUUUGGCUUCCAUAUAUUUUUUUUGUUCAAAAGAGGUGUCUUCUAUCGCUUAUGUUGGUGAUUAUACUUUGGUAUUAUCAUUGGUUUCCAUGUGUUUGCUUUGAUCAUAUUAUAUGUAUAAUCGUGUUGUCUCUUUCAAUGAUUCCCGUGUAUUUAUCCAAAUUAGGUGUCAUAAGAGUUGCCUUUUUCUUUUAUGCGUUUAAUAUUUUUCAUUUUUCCUUGUCGGUAUGUUAUUUGUAUUCUUAUUCCAUGUUCAUUUGGUUUUUGAAAAGAAAACUAGUGUUUUAAUGAUACUUGUUAAUUUUUUUCUGUAAUAAAGAAUUGACCUUUGAAUGAUUUUUGUUGUUUCUUUUCUGUGAAUGUCGUACGAUCAUGAUUCUAAUGUUAUUC